GAUGAACGCUGGCGGCGUGCCUAAUACAUGCAAGUCGAGCGACCAGACGAGGAUCUUGCUCCUCUGACGUUAGCGGCGGACGGGUGAGUAACACGUGGAUAACCUACCUAUAAGACUGGGAUAACUUCGGGAAACCGGAGCUAAUACCGGAUAAUAUAUUGAACCGCAUGGUUCAAUAGUGAAAGACGGUUUUGCUGUCACUUAUAGAUGGAUCCGCGCCGCAUUAGCUAGUUGGUACGGUAACGGCUUACCAAGGCAACGAUGCGUAGCCGACCUGAGAGGGUGAUCGGCCACACUGGAACUGAGACACGGUCCAGACUCCUACGGGAGGCAGCAGUAGGGAAUCUUGCGCAAUGGGCGAAAGCCUGACGGAGCAACGCCGCGUGAGUGAUGAAGGUCUUCGGAUCGUAAAACUCUGUUAUUAGGGAAGAACAAAUGUGUAAGUAACUAUGCACGUCUUGACGGUACCGAAUCAGAAAGCCACGGCUAACUACGUG
RNAcentral lists this ribosomal RNA (497 nucleotides) under uncultured bacterium. Its description in RNAcentral is "partial 16S ribosomal RNA". It matches the Rfam family "Bacterial small subunit ribosomal RNA", at positions 28 to 507 of the family's 1533-position model. The record is from RNAcentral.